Molecule: transfer RNA, 92 nt
Filed under: Saccharomonospora amisosensis
Lineage: Bacteria; Bacillati; Actinomycetota; Actinomycetes; Pseudonocardiales; Pseudonocardiaceae
Description: tRNA-OTHER
Rfam family: transfer-messenger RNA
About the family: Bacterial tmRNA, also known as 10Sa RNA or SsrA, is named for its dual tRNA and mRNA-like properties.
Source: RNAcentral
GGUGGGGCCGAGUAGAGACACAGCGAACUGCGCACGGAGAAGCCCUGGAAAGGCGACAGAGGACCCGGGUUCGAUUCCCGGCACCUCCACCA